GAUGAACGCUGGCGGCGUGCCUAAUACAUGCAAGUCGAGCGAACGGACGAGAAGCUUGCUUCUCUGAUGUUAGCGGCGGACGGGUGAGUAACACGUGGAUAACCUACCUAUAAGACUGGGAUAACUUCGGGAAACCGUAGCUAAUACCGGAUAAUAUUUUGAACCGCAUGGUUCAAAAGUGAAAGACGGUCUUGCUGUCACUUAUAGAUUGAUCCGCGCUGCAUUAGCUAGUUGGUAAGGUAACGGCUUACCAAGGCAACGAUGCAUAGCCGACCUGAGAGGGUGAUCGGCCACACGGGAACUGAGACACGGUACAGACUCCUACGGGAGGCAGCAGUAGGGAAUCUUCCGCAAUGGGCGAAAGCCUGACGGAGCAACGCCGCGUGAGUGAUGAAGGUCUUCGGAUCGUAAAACUCUGUUAUUAGGGAAGAACAAAUGUGUAAGUAACUGUGCACAUCUUGACGGUACCUAAUCAGAAAGCCACGGCUAACUACGUG
RNAcentral lists this ribosomal RNA (497 nucleotides) under uncultured bacterium. RNAcentral describes it as "partial 16S ribosomal RNA". It matches the Rfam family "Bacterial small subunit ribosomal RNA", at positions 28 to 507 of the family's 1533-position model. The record is from RNAcentral.